CCUACGUGGUGCAGCAGUGGGGAAUAUUGGGCAAUGGGCGCAAGCCUGACCCAGCAACGCCGCGUGAAGGAAGAAGGCUUUCGGGUUGUAAACUUCUUUUAAGAGGGAAGAGCAGAAGACGGUACCUCUUGAAUAAGCCACGGCUAACUACGUGCCAGCAGCCGCGGUAAUACGUAGGUGGCAAGCGUUGUCCGGAUUUACUGGGUGUAAAGGGCGUGCAGCCGGGAAGACAAGUCAGAUGUGAAAUCCCGCGGCUCAACCGCGGAACUGCAUUUGAAACUGUUUUUCUUUAGUACCGGAGAGGUCAUCGGAAUUCCUUGUGUAGCGGUGAAAUGCGUAGAUAUUAGGAGGAACACCGGUGGCGAAGGCGGCCUGCUGGACUGUGACUGACGUUGAGGCCCGAAGGCGUGGGGAGCAAACAGGAUUAGAUACCCUUGUAGUC
Molecule: ribosomal RNA, 442 nt
Filed under: uncultured bacterium
Lineage: Bacteria
Description: partial 16S ribosomal RNA
Rfam family: Bacterial small subunit ribosomal RNA
Source: RNAcentral